RNAcentral lists this long non-coding RNA (1279 nucleotides) under Gallus gallus (chicken). The record is from RNAcentral. Lineage: Eukaryota; Metazoa; Chordata; Aves; Galliformes; Phasianidae.
AAAGAAAAAAAAUAGUUGUGUAGAAGGCAAGUCUGUAAUAAUAACAUCUUGGCUGGUUUAUUUCAAGUAACAUUUUAAUUCUCAUUAAAUGCAAGUGCUAUGACUGCAAUUCAGCAUUACCAGUGAAGCAUAUUUUUGAUUCCUCUUACAAAGGAUAGUCUCUAGAAGUCCAAUUAAUUACAUUUAGUUGGGCACUUCUUAUAAAUUAUUUCAAGUAACAGGUUUCCUUCCAUUGCAUUACAGUAGAAACUCAACCCCCUGCUCCAUGAUUGUGUUUUUAAGCCAACGUUCUACCAUAGUGCUGGCAUAAUAAAGUCCCUGAUUGACAAACAUGAUGACCGGAUAAGGUGGCAGGGAAGUGGGAAGGUGACAAAAAGGUCAUAUGUUAUAGGAAAUACUCAUGACAAAUUGGCAAUUUUGGAUCACUUACAUUGGAAAAGGCCUCCGAGAUCAUCUCGUCCAACUUGUGUCCCAUUGUUUCAGCAAUCUAAUUGGUUUUAGAAGGACAAGUCCAGAUGUAUAUUUAAGCCUCACUGCUGCAACUGUCUGCCCACAAGGGCCAAGAGGCUUUUGCAUACAGUAAACUGCAGGACCAGAAGCUGAACUAAUCCUACACUCGUUUUCCUGCUUCACAGUAAAGCUGUUGAGAUAAAUACCACUUUGGAAGAGCCUAACAAGGGCUCUCAAUUUCUCUCAUUUGAAGACAUAACUCAUACGUAUAAGGAUAUGAAGAACAGUGCACAGACAGCCGCGUCUGUUACUUUUUUUAUAUAGUGCAUUCAGGCAGUGGCAUUUUCAGGCUUCUUGAUCACGUCUCUUCAAGUGGUGCGAUGUUCACUUAUGGCUCAAGUGGCUUUUCCAUCAUCUGCAACCCGAGUCGUCCAACCAUCAGUAAACUGGCACCGGCAAUGAGCCCAGGCAUUGCUUUUCUGGAGUUGUAAAAUCUCAUCCCCAUGACAGCAGACAAGGUUCCAGAUGCCACAAGAGAAAGCCACACGUUCUUCGGGUCUUUGGACUGGUUGUAGGCACCCAGCCCUGCCAGGCCACCAAAGAGGAGGCCGGCAGCGAGGGACGGGACGCUGCCUGCCCUGGCGUAGCCGAUGAUGCCCCCGGAGGCGACCAGCGCCGCGUACCCGAAGCCUACCCAGUCGUACUCCAUCUGCGGUGCCCCUCUGCCGGCCGCUGCACGGUGGGGGCCGUUGGCCAGCGGCCCGCUCCGACCUUGGCGCCGCGCUUCCCGGCGUGCCGCGGGGCGGAGCGGCGCCUCCCGGAGUUCCGG